CUGAAGAUACAGCUCAGCAGUAGAGCAUUUGACUGCAGAUCAAGAGGUCCCUGGUUCAUGUCCAGGUGCCCCCUCUUUUAGG
Molecule: transfer RNA, 82 nt
Filed under: Sphaerodactylus townsendi
Lineage: Eukaryota; Metazoa; Chordata; Lepidosauria; Squamata; Sphaerodactylidae
Description: tRNA-Cys
Rfam family: tRNA (bases 3-74)
About the family: Transfer RNA (tRNA) molecules are approximately 80 nucleotides in length. Their secondary structure includes four short double-helical elements and three loops (D, anti-codon, and T loops). Further hydrogen bonds mediate the characteristic L-shaped molecular structure. tRNAs have two regions of fundamental functional importance: the anti-codon, which is responsible for specific mRNA codon recognition, and the 3' end, to which the tRNAs corresponding amino acid is attached (by aminoacyl-tRNA synthetases). tRNAs cope with the degeneracy of the genetic code in two manners: having more than one tRNA (with a specific anti-codon) for a particular amino acid; and 'wobble' base-pairing, i.e. permitting non-standard base-pairing at the 3rd anti-codon position.
Source: RNAcentral